RNAcentral lists this ribosomal RNA (910 nucleotides) under Mycolicibacterium gilvum. Its description in RNAcentral is "bacterial SSU rRNA". It matches the Rfam family "Bacterial small subunit ribosomal RNA", at positions 66 to 991 of the family's 1533-position model. Lineage: Bacteria; Bacillati; Actinomycetota; Actinomycetes; Mycobacteriales; Mycobacteriaceae. The record is from RNAcentral.
ACGGAAAGGCCCUUCGGGGUACUCGAGUGGCGAACGGGUGAGUAACACGUGGGUGAUCUGCCCUGCACUUUGGGAUAAGCCUGGGAAACUGGGUCUAAUACCGAAUAGGACCGCAUGCUUCAUGGUGUGUGGUGGAAAGCUUUUGCGGUGUGGGAUGGGCCCGCGGCCUAUCAGCUUGUUGGUGAGGUAAUGGCUUACCAAGGCGACGACGGGUAGCCGGCCUGAGAGGGUGACCGGCCACACUGGGACUGAGAUACGGCCCAGACUCCUACGGGAGGCAGCAGUGGGGAAUAUUGCACAAUGGGCGCAAGCCUGAUGCAGCGACGCCGCGUGAGGGAUGACGGCCUUCGGGUUGUAAACCUCUUUCGCCAGGGACGAAGCGCAAGUGACGGUACCUGGAGAAGAAGGACCGGCCAACUACGUGCCAGCAGCCGCGGUAAUACGUAGGGUCCGAGCGUUGUCCGGAAUUACUGGGCGUAAAGAGCUCGUAGGUGGUUUGUCGCGUUGUUCGUGAAAACUCACAGCUUAACUGUGGGCGUGCGGGCGAUACGGGCAGACUUGAGUACUGCAGGGGAGACUGGAAUUCCUGGUGUAGCGGUGGAAUGCGCAGAUAUCAGGAGGAACACCGGUGGCGAAGGCGGGUCUCUGGGCAGUAACUGACGCUGAGGAGCGAAAGCGUGGGGAGCGAACAGGAUUAGAUACCCUGGUAGUCCACGCCGUAAACGGUGGGUACUAGGUGUGGGUUUCCUUCCUUGGGAUCCGUGCCGUAGCUAACGCAUUAAGUACCCCGCCUGGGGAGUACGGCCGCAAGGCUAAAACUCAAAGAAAUUGACGGGGGCCCGCACAAGCGGCGGAGCAUGUGGAUUAAUUCGAUGCAACGCGAAGAACCUUACCUGGGUUUGACAUGCAC